GCUGAAUGGCUGCAGUCAAUGAUGACAGUCUGAGGAUGAUUGUCCUGUUCUAUCUCACCUGCAUGGGAGAGGGCAGGGUCCCCAGCAAGGCACCCUCUCACUGGGCUGGCAUGAAUAUAGUACUAGGGCAAAGGAAAGCACAUAGAGGCCUGCACCUUCAGCUAGUCUUGAGGUCACCUACGGCUCAGGCAGCCUGGCAGGAGUCUCCUUUUUGGUUGGUCAUACAUACAUGUAGUUUAAACAGGCAGAUUGUUCAGUGAGGCUCCUUUCAAAAAGUGCCACCAGGGCUGUGGUUGUGGCUCAGUUGUAGAGCACUUGCCUAGUAUGUGGGAGGUACUGGGUUUGAUUCUCAGCACUGUGUCCAUUUACAAGUAAAAAAAAAUAAAAAUAAAAGUGCCAUCUGUCCCUCACUAUUUCCCUACCCAGAGGCAACCAAUUUCAGUUCCUGUCAAUGAGCUCUUUUAGUACUUCCCUCUGGGUUUCUCAGUCAGGACACUUGGCCUUCUCCCAACACAUGUUCCUUUUCCUUCAUUACAAGAACAUCAGCAAUAGCUUCUUCUCUGAAAUGAGUUUUGAAAUCAGCUUUACUUGCCUAGCAUGCACAAGGCCCUGGGUUUAAUCCCCAGCACUG
This 631-nucleotide long non-coding RNA is filed under the name Marmota monax (woodchuck). The record is from RNAcentral. Lineage: Eukaryota; Metazoa; Chordata; Mammalia; Rodentia; Sciuridae.